This is a non-coding RNA of Physeter macrocephalus (sperm whale), 73 nucleotides long. The record is from the annotation of a RefSeq genome assembly. NCBI's taxonomy places the organism in Eukaryota, Metazoa, Chordata, Mammalia, Artiodactyla, Physeteridae.
UCCCUGGCAGUCCAGUGGUUAGGACUCCGCACUUUUAUUGCCGAGGGCCCGGGUUCGAUCCCUGGUCAGGGAG